UGGGGAAUAUUGCGCAAUGGGCGGAAGCCUGACGCAGCGACGCCGCGUGCGGGAUGAAGGCCUUCGGGUUGUAAACCGCUUUCAGCAGGGACGAAUACAGACGGUACCUGCAGAAGAAGCGCCGGCUAACUACGUGCCAGCAGCCGCGGUAAUACGUAGGGCGCAAGCGUUGUCCGGAAUUAUUGGGCGUAAAGAGCUCGUAGGCGGCCUGUUGCGUCCGCUGUGAAAUCCCGGGGCUCAACCCCGGGCCUGCAGUGGAUACGGGCUGGCUAGAGGCAGGCAGGGGAGAACGGAAUUCCUGGUGUAGCGGUGAAAUGCGCAGAUAUCAGGAGGAACACCGGUGGCGAAGGCGGUUCUCUGGGCCUGUACUGACGCUGAGGAGCGAAAGCGUGGGGAGCGAACA
This 403-nucleotide ribosomal RNA is filed under the name uncultured Acidothermus sp. RNAcentral's name for it is "bacterial SSU rRNA". It matches the Rfam family "Bacterial small subunit ribosomal RNA", at positions 355 to 774 of the family's 1533-position model. Lineage: Bacteria; Bacillati; Actinomycetota; Actinomycetes; Acidothermales; Acidothermaceae. The record is from RNAcentral.